Molecule: ribosomal RNA, 253 nt
Filed under: uncultured bacterium
Lineage: Bacteria
Description: partial 16S ribosomal RNA
Rfam family: Bacterial small subunit ribosomal RNA
Source: RNAcentral
UACAUGGGGUGCAAACGUUGCUCGGAAUUAUUGGGCGUAAAGCGCGCGUAGGCGGUUACUCAAGUCGGAUGUGAAAUCCCUCGGCUCAACUGGGGAACUGCCUUUGAAACUGUCGGGCUUGAGGCCGGGAGGGGGUAGCGGAAUUCCCAGUGUAGCGGUGAAAUGCGUAGAUAUUGGGAGGAACACCAGUGGCGAAGGCGGGUCUCUGGGCCGUAACUGACGCUGAGGAGCGAAAGCGUGGGGAGCGAACAGG